AGGACGAACGCUGGCGGCGCGCUUAACGACAUGCAAGUCGAGCGAGAACCCACCUUCGGGUGGGGGAAAGCGGCGAACGGGUGAGUAACACGUGGGCAACCCACCCUUGGUAUCGGGAUAGCCCGGGGAAACCCGGAUUAAUACCGGAUGGCCCAGCUGCUCUUCGGGGCGGUUGGAAAAGGUAGCUUCGGCCUCCGACCAAGGACGGGCCCGCGGCGGAUUAGCUUGUUGGUGGGGUAAUGGCCUACCAAGGCGACGAUCCGUAGCUGGUCUGAGAGGACGAUCAGCCACACUGGGACUGAGACACGGCCCAGACUCCUACGGGAGGCAGCAGUGGGGAAUCUUGCGCAAUGGGCGAAAGCCUGACGCAGCGACGCCGCGUGGGGGAAGAAGGCUUUCGGGUUGUAAACCCCUUUCAGGUGGGACGAAGCCACUCGGGUUAAUAGCCCAGAGGGUGACGGUACCGCCAGAAGAAGCCCUGGCUAACUACGUGCCAGCAGCCGC
RNAcentral lists this ribosomal RNA (504 nucleotides) under uncultured bacterium. RNAcentral describes it as "SSU rRNA". It matches the Rfam family "Bacterial small subunit ribosomal RNA", at positions 26 to 518 of the family's 1533-position model. The record is from RNAcentral.